GGGGAAGAAGGCAGCUAACCACAUAGAAGAUGUUCAUCAGCUGAGGCUUUUGUAUAAUAGACAUCUCCAAUGGCGGUAUGCUAAUGCCAGGUCAGAUGCAGCAUUGCACACGCAGAAAGCUAAAACUGAGAAAACAUUGUACAAUGUAUGGAGAAAUACCUCAGACCUAUGGACUUCUGUUAUUAAAAAGAGAAUUGCGCUACAACAGGUUAAGCUGAGGUUGAAGCUUUUUGCAGUUCUAAAUGAACAGCUUACCUACCUUGAUGAGUGGGCUUCAAUUGAAGGGGAUCAUACCAGUUCAUUAUCCCAUGCUAUACAAGACCUACAAGCAUGCACUCUCCGUCUUCCAAUAACUGGACAAGCUAAGGGUGACAUUGAAAGUGUUAAGGAAGCUGUUUGCUCAGCUGUUGAUGUAAUGCAGGCAAUGGGAUCUUCCAUGUGUUUUAUAUU
Molecule: unclassified non-coding RNA, 450 nt
Filed under: Hevea brasiliensis (rubber tree)
Lineage: Eukaryota; Viridiplantae; Streptophyta; Magnoliopsida; Malpighiales; Euphorbiaceae
Source: RNAcentral